Molecule: long non-coding RNA, 2189 nt
Organism: Planococcus citri (citrus mealybug)
Lineage: Eukaryota; Metazoa; Arthropoda; Insecta; Hemiptera; Pseudococcidae
Exons: 8
Source: RefSeq, a predicted model, not a curated record
GCCCAAAACCAGAAGUUGUUGAUGUGUGUGGACUUGAAUUGAAGGCAUUCUUCACAUCGGUUCAUUUUGAUAAAAAAAAAUUAUAUUUCAUAAAAAAGUUGAGGAUUUUUAAAAUUUUCAUGAAUUUUGGUGUUUGAAAUUUUGGUUACUGGGUUCUUAGGAGGUGACCUUUCGAUCUGGGUUGAUUUCGUUCAAAUCGGAGAGUUUCGGUUCAAACUUUUCCCUUGUUAAUGGAGUUUCAUUAUUAUUAGUCACUUAUCUAUUUAUUAUUUGUUUCAGUUGACAGAGAAAGCGUCGUAGUAUUUGGUUGGUGGUGUCUUCCUCUACCCGGAAAGAAAAUGCUGCGAAGUAAAAAAGAACGCUGGUCUACAUUUGCGAAUUUACUCGUAUUGUUUUUCAUUUCGCUCAAACUGGCAUUUUAAACAGAUAAUUGAUUCACACGCUGCCGCAGAUGCUUGAUUUCUAGCAGCAUGAACGAGUCGUAUUUAAUGGAAAGAAAACACUCUGCAGAAUAUUAUUGAAAUACGAGUAGUUUGCAUGAGCUGUUUCCCACCCACUAACGUCCUCAAGCUGAAUCACUAAUGAGGACUCCUGGAAAAUUCAAACUAUUACAUAUAUUGUGCACUAUUGAAAAUCUCAAUACCUAUAUUACUGGUCAAGGUGAACGACAUAUAGGUUUGUAUCAUACUGAUAGUGAGUCCCAACUUUACGAAGAAUUAUUUCGAAAUUGGAUACUGUCUACUUGAACAUGCAAAGUCCAUUUAUUUGGAAGUACCAAGUACCUACGAGUGAUUAGAAAGCUAUUGGGAGUACCUGCUUAUAAUUGGUAAAAAUACGAGAAUUAUUUUAAGAACAAUUCAACGAUCAUUGGUUCUGUUUCCCAACUACUGACGACGUCCUUUUGCUGAAUUCCUGAUUAUUAUUAGACUGCUGAAAAUUUCAAAUGUGUAUCACCUAUUGUGCUAUCGAAAAUCUCAAGAUACUGAUCAAGGUUCGCAUCGUAGCAAGUUCCAUCAAUACAAAACUUCGUUUCGACUCUGAGAUCUGCACUUAUGAAUUCAACAUGAGUAAUUAUUAGAAAGCUGUGAAAUUUGAUAAUUUGGCCACCUACCUGCUCAUUUCAUAGAAUUACGACUUACAAGAUGACCAUCAUCGUCGCGUGUCGGUACUUACGUACUUACUACUUAUCUACCUAUCUAUUGUCGAGAUUUACAUGCUAUUCUCAGCCCACUCAUUCAAGAUUAGAAAACUCAUACUCAAAAAACUUAGUCGAGUCUUUUCGUUCAUCUCGAAAUAUAAAUUUGAUGUGUAGUAUCAGGUCAUAACAAAGAUAUCUGAUUAGACUUCCAGGAUGAGUGGUAAGUUCUGAAAAUUGAGAUAUAUAUUCAGUACAUUUAUUGUGAAUUCAAAAUGACACAAAAAUAUUCACCAGCUACGUACAUUGCUUAUUAUCGGACAUCAUAUUCUUACAAAGUAGAUUUCUUUUGUGAAAUGUGAUCGUAUGCUCUAACUCUAGAUAUGUAUCAAAUAUUGUAUAAUGAUGUUCAUUUUGUAAAAAUGAUGAUAUUGUGAGGCAAUUUUGGAAAUGUAUUUUGUAGAACAAAUUCAUUUUGUCAUUCCCAAAUAAUUCUGUGUGCCAUCACAGUGGGACAGAUUCAUUUUUUAGGGUAUCAAAAAUCAUAUUUCAGAAAUGAAUGCGAAUUUUGACGUCAAUCGUUUCGCUACAGAGGUAUUUUGAGGCGCUGAAUUCAUUUUUGACGUUAUUUUGGUUUGAACCCCAAAUGGGGCCCCAGCAGGGGGGUGAAAAGGGGUAAAUUUUCGAAAAAGUCGAGUGGGAUAUCGAUAUGUAUGUUUUUUGGGCCCUAGAAUUCAUUUUUGAGGUUAUUUUGGUUCGAAACCCAAAUGGGGCCCCGGGGGGGGGGGGUGCAAAUGGGCAAAUUUUUGAAAAAGUUGAGUGGGGUAUCAAUAUGUACGUUUUUUGGGUUCCAGAAUUCUUUUUUGACGUUAUUUUGGUAUGAAACCUAACGGGACCCCACGAUGGGGGGUGCAACCGGGCAAAUUUGGCAUAAAAAAUGGAAUUUUUAGUAAUUUUGUUGAAAAUCUGUGAUUUUUCAAAGUCCAAUUAUGGGAGAAUCGGGACGUUUCGGGAAAAAGUAUUCAUCUACCAUGAAACCUCAUACUAUAAGGGA